GUGAGGAAUUUUCCGCAAUGGGCGAAAGCCUGACGGAGCAAUGCCGCGUGAAGGAUGAAGGCCUAUGGGUUGUAAACUUCUUUUCUCAGAAAAGAAUUAUGACGGUAUCUGAGGAAUAAGCAUCGGCUAACUCUGUGCCAGCAGCCGCGGUAAGACAGAGGAUGCAAGCGUUAUCCGGAAUGAUUGGGCGUAAAGCGUCUGUAGGUUGUUUAAAAAGUAUUCUGUCAAAGAUUAGGGCUUAACCCUAGAUAGGCAGAAUAAACUUUUAAGCUAGAGUUUGGUAGAGGCAGAGGGAAUUCCCGGUGGGGCGGUGAAAUGCGUAGAUAUCGGAAGGAACAACAAAGGCGAAGGCACUCUGCUGGGCCAAUACUAACACUGAGAGACGAAAGCGAGGGGAGCAAAUGGGAUUAGAAACCCCGGUAGUCC
RNAcentral lists this ribosomal RNA (426 nucleotides) under uncultured bacterium. Its description in RNAcentral is "bacterial SSU rRNA". It matches the Rfam family "Bacterial small subunit ribosomal RNA", at positions 354 to 796 of the family's 1533-position model. The record is from RNAcentral.